UGCUCCCCAGGCCAGCAGGAGCUUCCUGAGCUACAGGCAUGGCAACAGUGCACCCCAGUUCCACACCCAGCAGGCGCAACCAGAGUCUCGUGUGUGCUGACCACAGGAGCCGAGCCUUUUCCUGCAUGUGGACUCAUGCAGCCAAGGCUGGGCCUGGUCACCCAGGAUCCUCACCAUGUGACCCCAGCCAAUCGAGGGGACAGUUCAAGGAGGAGGAGACCCCUAUUAGACAGGAAGCACAUUUGUGUUCAAGUGAAGGCAGAGGCAUCCACCCCAGGUCACUAGAGCACAGGUGCAGAGAGGAAAAGCUGUCAGCUGGUGCCAGCCUCCAAGGGCCAGCGCUACCCUUCAACAGCUGGAGGCACCACUGUGCCAGGCUUUCCACACCGGCCUCCUUCAGGAACAAGACAUCCUCACCAAGCAGGGUGAGGUAUGGGCUCCGGUAUGGGCUCCAGGACUGGC
This 462-nucleotide small RNA is filed under the name Pongo abelii (Sumatran orangutan). RNAcentral's name for it is "processed transcript". Lineage: Eukaryota; Metazoa; Chordata; Mammalia; Primates; Hominidae. The record is from RNAcentral.